Molecule: transfer RNA, 74 nt
Filed under: Magnetococcales bacterium
Lineage: Bacteria; Pseudomonadati; Pseudomonadota; Magnetococcia; Magnetococcales
Description: tRNA-Gly
Rfam family: tRNA
About the family: Transfer RNA (tRNA) molecules are approximately 80 nucleotides in length. Their secondary structure includes four short double-helical elements and three loops (D, anti-codon, and T loops). Further hydrogen bonds mediate the characteristic L-shaped molecular structure. tRNAs have two regions of fundamental functional importance: the anti-codon, which is responsible for specific mRNA codon recognition, and the 3' end, to which the tRNAs corresponding amino acid is attached (by aminoacyl-tRNA synthetases). tRNAs cope with the degeneracy of the genetic code in two manners: having more than one tRNA (with a specific anti-codon) for a particular amino acid; and 'wobble' base-pairing, i.e. permitting non-standard base-pairing at the 3rd anti-codon position.
Source: RNAcentral
GCGGGUAUAGUUCAACGGUAGAACGUCAGCCUUCCAAGCUGAACAUGGGGGUUCGAUUCCCCCUACCCGCUCCA